AUGCUCACUUCAGCAGCACAUAUACUAAAAUCAGAAGGAUACAGUGAUCAGCAUGCCCAAGUAUGGCACGCAAAUUCAUGAAGCGUUCCAUAUUUAA
Molecule: small nuclear RNA, 97 nt
Organism: Panthera pardus (leopard)
Lineage: Eukaryota; Metazoa; Chordata; Mammalia; Carnivora; Felidae
Source: Ensembl